AUUGAACGCUGGCGGCAUGCUUUACACAUGCAAGUCGGACGGCAGCACAGAGAAGCUUGCUUCUUGGGUGGCGAGUGGCGAACGGGUGAGUAAUAUAUCGGAACGUACCGAGUAAUGGGGGAUAACUAAUCGAAAGAUUAGCUAAUACCGCAUAUUCUCUGAGGAGGAAAGCAGGGGACCUUCGGGCCUUGCGUUAUUCGAGCGGCCGAUAUCUGAUUAGCUAGUUGGUGGGGUAAAGGCCUACCAAGGCGACGAUCAGUAGCGGGUCUGAAAGGAUGAUCCGCCACACUGGGACUGAGACACGGCCCAUACUCCUACGGGAGGCAGCAGUGGGGAAUUUUGGACAAUGGGCGCAAGCCUGAUCCAGCCAUGCCGCGUGUCUGAAGAAGGCCUUCGGGUUGUAAAGGACUUUUGUCAGGGAAGAAAAGGCUGUUGCUAAUACCGACAGCUGAUGACGGUACCUGAAGAAUAAGCACCGGCUAACUACGUG
RNAcentral lists this ribosomal RNA (490 nucleotides) under uncultured bacterium. Its description in RNAcentral is "partial 16S ribosomal RNA". It matches the Rfam family "Bacterial small subunit ribosomal RNA", at positions 30 to 507 of the family's 1533-position model. The record is from RNAcentral.